AUACAGGGGGUGCGAGCGUUAAUCGGAAUUACUGGGCGUAAAGAGUACGUAGGCGGUUGCUUAAGUCAGAUGUGAAAGCCCCGGACUCAACCUGGGAACUGCAUUUGAAACUGAGUGACUAGAGUUUAAGAGAGGGGAGUAGAAUUCCGGGUGUAGCGGUGAAAUGCGUAGAGAUCCGGAGGAAUACCAGUGGCGAAGGCGGCUCCCUGGCUUAAAACUGACGCUGAGGUACGAAAGCGUGGGUAGCAAUCAGGAUUAGAAACCCCAGUAGUCC
Molecule: ribosomal RNA, 274 nt
Filed under: uncultured bacterium
Lineage: Bacteria
Description: partial 16S ribosomal RNA
Rfam family: Bacterial small subunit ribosomal RNA
Source: RNAcentral